GACGAACGCUGGCGGCGUGCUUAACACAUGCAAGUCGAACGGAAAGGCCCUGCUUUUGUGGGGUGCUCGAGUGGCGAACGGGUGAGUAACACGUGAGUAACCUGCCCUUGACUUUGGGAUAACUUCAGGAAACUGGGGCUAAUACCGGAUAGGAGCUCCUGCUGCAUGGUGGGGGUUGGAAAGUUUCGGCGGUUGGGGAUGGACUCGCGGCUUAUCAGCUUGUUGGUGGGGUAGUGGCUUACCAAGGCUUUGACGGGUAGCCGGCCUGAGAGGGUGACCGGCCACAUUGGGACUGAGAUACGGCCCAGACUCAUACGGGAGGCAGCAGUGGGGAAUAUUGCACAAUGGGCGGAAGCCUGAUGCAGCACCGCCGCGUGCGGGAUGACGGCCUUCGGGUUGUAAACCGCUUUCGCCUGUGACGAAGCGUGAGUGACGGUAAUGGGUAAAGAAGCACCGGCUAACUACGUG
RNAcentral lists this ribosomal RNA (468 nucleotides) under uncultured bacterium. Its description in RNAcentral is "partial 16S ribosomal RNA". It matches the Rfam family "Bacterial small subunit ribosomal RNA", at positions 28 to 507 of the family's 1533-position model. The record is from RNAcentral.